UAGCAACGGACUAGCAAAAAAAUACGCGGGUCAGGCAAUGGGUUAAAACAGGAGGCGGGUCAAAAAAAGGGAACGGAAGGGCUUCCUGCCUGGUUUUGGGGCUCGCCGACUCUGGCUCGCCUUCACGGCUCUCUCCGCAUUCUCAGUUGCCAGCAGGCUCUAGUCUAAUUUCAGAUUGAGGAAACGGAAGGGCUCCGCCGCUUCUCUGGUUGCCGACUCCGCUCAGUCGUCGACUGAUUCGGUUGAGUUUAUGGAGGGGAAUGGCGGCGGCAUCAGGUGAGUCCCAAUUGCUCAGUUUAUUUCUUUAUUUGUAUUUAGUUUGUCUAUCUGCCUGUUGUAAUAUGGUUAUUUUAAGGGAAUUUUUAUGCGAGGUUGUUCUUGUAUGUGUUUACUGCUACAUUUCAUUGUCAGGUGGGAAUUGAAGUCUGAACUUUAAUUUUGUGAAAAUUUUAAAUUCGUUAAAAUCAGACAGGGAGCUGCCUAAAAAAAUGGAAUUUGGUGUUAGGAUGAUAAUCUGUUAGUGUGUAAAAUUUUGGUGCAAAAAUGGAGUUAUGGAAGUUAGGUUUAAUAAUGUUUGUUCUCACUUAUUGGGGUAUUGGAGUUGUCUAUGAAUGAGUCCAGUUAAGGUUAAGGUAAUUAAGAGAUUUUAGGAGUUUCUGCUUGUUUGCAUGGUGGUGGCUCUUUUAAUUGUUUAGGUAGACUGUAUAUCGAGUCAAGAAUGAAAACAGUCUUGCUAGUCGGGAUAAUACUAAAAACUAUCUAAGUGAUUAUUUGUAGUAAAACAAUUUUCAUCUUGAUUCUGGAACACUUAACAUAAAGCAUUGGUUAAUCUUUUCGAACUUUGACAAAGAAUGGAUUUUUUGUUGUUAAUUAAUUAGAUAUCAAAAUAAAUUACACAUGUUGACCCUUCACUAGGUUAAUGCACAUAUUGUGUAACACAAUAAAACUCAAUUUGAGUGUUUAUCAACUAGCAACAUGAUUUUCUUAACACAACCAGUUUAACAAAUGUAAGAAUUUAUGUUUAAAGUAAUGACUUAACAAAUUUAUGACUGGUUUACCUGACACUGCUUAUAUCUUGGAUAUUUUUAUACAUCAAAUUUAUCACAAUUCAAAUGGGUUGGAUUAGUGUCAUGAAUUAAAGUAACAUCUUUUUUUUUUCAUUUCAGGAUGAGAUUUUGCUGUUGUUGAGAUGGACUGCAUUCUGUAUGAUGUUCAAAUGUAUGUUGUUGAGAAGGACCGCAUUCUGUAUGUUGUUGAAAUGGACCGCAUUCUGUAUGCUGUUGUUUUUCAUUGUAGAAUGAGAUUUUGGAAUGGAGUUAGUUGAGAUUUUAUCAUGUUGUUGAGAUGGACUGCAUUCAGUUUCUGCCUUUCAUUUUGUGAUAUUGGCAGUGGAGCAGUGGUCAUUUUGUCAUUUUGUAUGACUGCAUUCUUUAUGAUGAUCAAGUGUGUGUUUUCUUAUGCAUAAGAGCAAUAUUAGGAUUUUCGUAUAUAUAAGUGUGUGUUUUCUUAUGUAUAAUUUCAUCAAGUACUUUUGACUUGCAUUAUCCUGAUCAACUUCUCUGAUAAUAUCUUCAAGGAAAACAUCAGUCAUGUUAUGUUCUGCACAAGCUUGUUGGAGCUCAUCGACUGUGAUAUAACCACUUCCAUCUUUGUCAAAAUACUGAAAUGCUGCCAUGAACUUGUCUAUACGGAGAUGAUUUUAAGUUUUCAUAGAAUACAAAUAUUUGUA
This 1729-nucleotide long non-coding RNA is filed under the name Panax ginseng (ginseng). RNAcentral's name for it is "long non-coding RNA (PGIN_LNC011118)". The record is from RNAcentral. Lineage: Eukaryota; Viridiplantae; Streptophyta; Magnoliopsida; Apiales; Araliaceae.